CAGCCGUAAACGAUGCGCGUUAGGUGUAUCGACGACCACGAGUCGUCGAGGUGCCGAAGGGAAACCGUGAAACGUGCCGCCUGGGAAAUACGGUCGCAAGGCUGAAACUUAAAGGAAUUGGCGGGGGAGCACCACAACAGGUGGAGCCUGCGGUUUAAUUGGACUCAACGCCGGAAAUCUCACCGGAUAAGACAGCAGAAUGAUUGCCGGGCUGAAGACCCUGCAUGACUAGCUGAGAGGUGGUGCAUGGCGUCAGUGACU
RNAcentral lists this ribosomal RNA (261 nucleotides) under uncultured archaeon. RNAcentral's name for it is "partial 16S ribosomal RNA". It matches the Rfam family "Archaeal small subunit ribosomal RNA", at positions 748 to 1008 of the family's 1478-position model. The record is from RNAcentral.